GAUGAACGCUGGCGGCGUGCUUAACACAUGCAAGUCGAACGAUGAAGCCCAGCUUGCUGGGUGGAUUAGUGGCGAACGGGUGAGUAACACGUGAGUAACCUGCCCUUAACUCUGGGAUAAGCCUGGGAAACUGGGUCUAAUACCGGAUAGGAGCGACCACCGCAUGGUGGGUGUUGGAAAGAUUUAUCGGUUUUGGAUGGACUCGCGGCCUAUCAGCUUGUUGGUGAGGUAAUGGCUCACCAAGGCGACGACGGGUAGCCGGCCUGAGAGGGUGACCGGCCACACUGGGACUGAGACACGGCCCAGACUCCUACGGGAGGCAGCAGUGGGGAAUAUUGCACAAUGGGCGCAAGCCUGAUGCAGCGACGCCGCGUGAGGGAUGACGGCCUUCGGGUUGUAAACCUCUUUCAGUAGGGAAGAAGCGAAAGUGACGGUACCUGCAGAAGAAGCACCGGCUAACUACGUG
This 466-nucleotide ribosomal RNA is filed under the name uncultured bacterium. Its description in RNAcentral is "partial 16S ribosomal RNA". It matches the Rfam family "Bacterial small subunit ribosomal RNA", at positions 28 to 507 of the family's 1533-position model. The record is from RNAcentral.